Molecule: ribosomal RNA, 253 nt
Filed under: uncultured bacterium
Lineage: Bacteria
Description: partial 16S ribosomal RNA
Rfam family: Bacterial small subunit ribosomal RNA
Source: RNAcentral
GACGGAGGUUGCAAGCGUUGUUCGGAAUUACUGGGCGUAAAGGGCUCGUAGGCGGCCAACUAAGUCAGACGUGAAAUCCCUCGGCUUAACCGGGGAACUGCGUCUGAUACUGGAUGGCUUGAGUUCGGGAGAGGGAUGCGGAAUUCCAGGUGUAGCGGUGAAAUGCGUAGAUAUCUGGAGGAACACCGGUGGCGAAGGCGGCAUCCUGGACCGACACUGACGCUGAGGAGCGAAAGCCAGGGGAGCAAACGGG